RNAcentral lists this ribosomal RNA (398 nucleotides) under uncultured bacterium. RNAcentral describes it as "bacterial SSU rRNA". It matches the Rfam family "Bacterial small subunit ribosomal RNA", at positions 30 to 424 of the family's 1533-position model. The record is from RNAcentral.
AGCGAACGCUAGCGGCGGGCUUAACACAUGCAAGUCGAACGGCAGCACAGCAGUAGCAAUACUGUGGGUGGCGAGUGGCGGACGGGUGAGGAAUACGUCGGAAUCUGCCCAGUCGUGGGGGAUAACUAGCCGAAAGGUUAGCUAAUACCGCAUACGACCGAGAGGUGAAAGCGGGGGACCGCAAGGCCUCGCGCGAUUGGAUGAGCCGACGUCGGAUUAGCUAGUUGGCGGGGUAAAGGCCCACCAAGGCGACGAUCCGUAGCUGGUCUGAGAGGAUGAUCAGCCACACUGGAACUGAGACACGGUCCAGACUCCUACGGGAGGCAGCAGUGGGGAAUAUUGGACAAUGGGCGCAAGCCUGAUCCAGCAAUGCCGCGUGUGUGAAGAAGGCCUCGGUU